This 129-nucleotide small nucleolar RNA is filed under the name Neotoma lepida (desert woodrat). Its description in RNAcentral is "Small nucleolar RNA SNORA70". It matches the Rfam family "Small nucleolar RNA SNORA70". Rfam says of the family: snoRNA U70 seems to be exclusive to mammals and is a member of the H/ACA class of snoRNA which contain H (ANANNA) and ACA box motifs. H/ACA box snoRNAs are involved in the conversion of uridines to pseudouridines (5-ribosyluracil) a constituent of structural RNAs (transfer, ribosomal, small nuclear, and small nucleolar). The record is from Rfam by way of RNAcentral. Lineage: Eukaryota; Metazoa; Chordata; Mammalia; Rodentia; Cricetidae.
CUGUAGCCAAUUAAGGCAACCAGGUUUCUUUCCUCUCCUCAUGGGGGCCCAGUGUGCAAUGCCAACUCCUUGUUUGUGUGAGCAACCUGCUGCUUGUAUAGACUGCUCUAAGGGACCUUGGAGAAUUUC